RNAcentral lists this ribosomal RNA (880 nucleotides) under Psychrobacter faecalis. Its description in RNAcentral is "bacterial SSU rRNA". It matches the Rfam family "Bacterial small subunit ribosomal RNA", at positions 56 to 930 of the family's 1533-position model. The record is from RNAcentral. Lineage: Bacteria; Pseudomonadati; Pseudomonadota; Gammaproteobacteria; Moraxellales; Moraxellaceae.
UGCAGUCGAGCGGUAACAGGAGAAGCUUGCUUCUCGCUGACGAGCGGCGGACGGGUGAGUAAUACUUAGGAAUCUGCCUAGUAGUGGGGGAUAGCUCGGGGAAACUCGAAUUAAUACCGCAUACGACCUACGGGAGAAAGGGGGCAACUUGUUGCUCUCGCUAUUAGAUGAGCCUAAGUCGGAUUAGCUAGAUGGUGGGGUAAAGGCCUACCAUGGCGACGAUCUGGAGCUGGUCUGAGAGGAUGAUCAGCCACACCGGGACUGAGACACGGCCCGGACUCCUACGGGAGGCAGCAGUGGGGAAUAUUGGACAAUGGGGGCAACCCUGAUCCAGCCAUGCCGCGUGUGUGAAGAAGGCCUUUUGGUUGUAAAGCACUUUAAGCAGUGAAGAAGACUCCCUGGUUAAUACCCAUGGACGAUGACAUUAGCUGCAGAAUAAGCACCGGCUAACUCUGUGCCAGCAGCCGCGGUAAUACAGAGGGUGCGAGCGUUAAUCGGAAUUACUGGGCGUAAAGCGAGCGUAGGUGGCUUGAUAAGUCAGAUGUGAAAGCCCCGGGCUUAACCUGGGAACGGCAUCUGAUACUGUUAGGCUAGAGUAGGUGAGAGGAAGGUAGAAUUCCAGGUGUAGCGGUGAAAUGCGUAAAGAUCUGGAGGAAUACCGAUGGCGAAGGCAGCCUUCUGGCAUCAUACUGACACUGAGGUUCGAAAGCGUGGGUAGCAAACAGGAUUAGAUACCCUGGUAGUCCACGCCGUACACGAUGUCUACUAGUCGUUGGGUCCCUUGAGGACUUAGUGACGCAGCUAACGCAAUAAGUAGACCGCCUGGGGAGUACGGCCGCAAGGUUAAAACUCAGAUGAAUUGACGGNGGCCCGCACAAGC